This 517-nucleotide ribosomal RNA is filed under the name uncultured bacterium. Its description in RNAcentral is "bacterial SSU rRNA". It matches the Rfam family "Bacterial small subunit ribosomal RNA", at positions 10 to 518 of the family's 1533-position model. The record is from RNAcentral.
AGUUUGAUUCUGGCUCAGGAUGAACGCUAGCUACAGGCUUAACACAUGCAAGUCGAGGGCAGCAUGUUGGUGCUUGCAACCAAUGAUGGCGACCGGCGCACGGGUGAGUAACGCGUAUCCAACCUUCCCUAUAGUAGAGGAUAGCCCGGCGAAAGUCGGAUUAAUACUCUAUGUUUUCCAAUGCAGACAUCUAAAAUGGAACAAAGGUUCACCGCUAUAGGAUGGGGAUGCGUCUGAUUAGAUAGUCGGCGGGGCAACGGCCCACCGAGUCGACGAUCAGUAGGGGUUCUGAGAGGAAGGUCCCCCACAUUGGAACUGAGACACGGUCCAAACUCCUACGGGAGGCAGCAGUGAGGAAUAUUGGUCAAUGGGCGCGAGCCUGAACCAGCCAAGUAGCGUGCAGGACGACGGCCCUAUGGGUUGUAAACUGCUUUUAUACAGGGAUAAAGUCACCUACGUGUAGGUGUUUGUAGGUACUGUAUGAAUAAGGACCGGCUAAUUCCGUGCCAGCCGCUGC